RNAcentral lists this ribosomal RNA (568 nucleotides) under Acentronura tentaculata. RNAcentral's name for it is "partial 16S ribosomal RNA". It matches the Rfam family "Bacterial large subunit ribosomal RNA", at positions 1817 to 2597 of the family's 2925-position model. Lineage: Eukaryota; Metazoa; Chordata; Actinopteri; Syngnathiformes; Syngnathidae. The record is from RNAcentral.
CGCCUCUCGCAAACUAAAGCAUGGGAGGUCUUGCCUGCCCUGUGACCACGUGUUUAACGGCCGCGGUAUUUUGACCGUGCAAAGGUAGCGCAAUCACUUGUCUUUUAAAUAAAGACCCGUAUGAAUGGCUUAACGAGGGCUUAACUGUCUCCUUCCCCCAGUCAAUGAAAUUGAUCCCCCCGUGAAGAAGCGGGGAUAAGAACAUAAGACGAGAAGACCCUGUGGAGCUUUAAAUCAUUAGCUGAUAUUAUAAUAUACUCCUAAUUAAAGGAAACAAAAGUAAUUAAUCUGCUAAUAUUUUCGGUUGGGGCGACCGCGGGGUAAAAAGCAACCCCCGUGAAGAAUGAGAUGACAACCUCAAAACCAUGAGCACCAGCUCUAAGUGGUAAAAAUUUUAGCUAACAGAUCCGGUAUUACCGAUCAACGGACCAAGUUACCCCAGGGAUAACAGCGCAAUCCUCUUAAAGAGUCCAUAUCGACAAGGGGGUUUACGACCUCGAUGUUGGAUCAGGACAUCCUAAUGGUGCAGCCGCUAUUAAGGGUUCGUUUGUUCAACGAUUAAAGUCCU